AAGAUGGCGACCGGCGCACGGGUGAGUAACACGUAUCCAACCUGCCGAUAACUCCGGAAUAGCCUUUCGAAAGAAAGAUUAAUACCGGAUGGCAUACGAAUAUCGCAUGAUAUUUUUAUUAAAGAGUUUCGGUUAUCGAUGGGGAUGCGUUCCAUUAGUUUGUUGGCGGGGUAACGGCCCACCAAGACUACGAUGGAUAGGGGUUCUGAGAGGAAGGUCCCCCACAUUGGAACUGAGACACGGUCCAAACUCCUACGGGAGGCAGCAUG
Molecule: ribosomal RNA, 269 nt
Filed under: uncultured bacterium
Lineage: Bacteria
Description: partial 16S ribosomal RNA
Rfam family: Bacterial small subunit ribosomal RNA
Source: RNAcentral